Non-coding RNA from Callithrix jacchus (white-tufted-ear marmoset), 1376 nucleotides. The record is from RefSeq and is a predicted model, not a curated record. NCBI's taxonomy places the organism in Eukaryota, Metazoa, Chordata, Mammalia, Primates, Cebidae.
UGAGACAUUGAAAAUAGAGGAAUCAGAAAUGUCAAAGAAUAGAAAAUACCCAUGCUUUUAGGAUGGCAAAUCUUUUAUGUGAAAAUAAUCCUGGUUGCUCUGGGCCCAGGAGGCAAGCCCUUGGGAGGCUCUUUCAGAGGCCCCAGGCACCCUGCCUUAGGGAACCCCAUGUAGAGUUGUGCCUGAGGAACUGUACCCCGGAGGAAACUGCUUUUGGCAAGUUUGAUUAUUAAUAACAAGAAGCAUGACCAUUAAUAAUUAUCCUUGUAGCUCCUCUGAAACUAGAGUUGUAGUGCCAUGAGGAAUUCUUUUUGGCCAAUUAUUACUCACGUCUGUGCUUAUGUGCUUUAGGGGAGCGCCAGCUGAUUAUUCUGGGCUCAAGAUCACCUUUUGAGGACUUGCAGGCCUGUGCCUCAUAAAAACAGUCCCUGGAUUUGAUGGCAAAUGGCAGUAGAACUGUGGAAAAGAUCAAAGUGAUGUCAAGGUCGAUCUCUGAGUUUGGCAGGGCUGGACCCAAACAUAUCGUUCACCACAGACCCAUCGUGUCUCCAGUAGCAGAGUGGGGUAUCAUUCCCCUAUGAUAUGUGCAUCAAUUGCUGACCAGUUUUUUAUUUUGUUUUUAGAGAUGGAGAAUCUUGCUCUGUUGCCCAGGCUGGGGUGCAAUGGUGCAACCUUGGUUCACUGCACCUUCCACCUCCUGGGUUCAUGUGAUUUUACUGCCUGAGUCCUCUGAAUACCUGGGAUUACAGGUUAGGAGGGACUUGGACAGGCUUAUUGGUUGAAGACCAGGAGCCAGGGCAGAGAUAAAAUAACCAGGCCCGGGGGUCUCCAAGACAGCAGGCAACAGGAUCAGGGGGAAAGUCAUGGCUGAGAUGAGGAACACAUCCUCUGAGUUUGAAUGGAAGAACCCAAGAUUGCUUGGAGAUACUGGUAAGUUUAUAGGAGCAGACAGUUGAAGGGGUUAUGCCCCAUGGCCCCUGUAUUCUUGGUGCAGGGGGUGAUGAGACCAUUAGCUGAGACUGGGGGACAUGGGAAUCGAAGACAAAGGGAACUUUGGUAUGGCCACUGUGGAAAGGGAGAAAGAAGGGGACCAGGAAAGGGGUCACUGAGCAGUAGCUAGACCCCACAUUCCCCAGGAAUGUAUUUCCAACUCAUUUCACAAAGCAGCUCCCGCCCCCAGCAUGCCUGUCUGCUCCCAGCCUAUCUCAUCCUGAGAGAAACAGUGCUCGUUGCACCUGUGGAAGUAGCUUAGGGACAUGCUUGGCUUGUGUCAUCAGAUUAAUGAAAAGUAGGGCUUUUUUCCCCUUUCUCCUGGUGGGGGAUGGUGAUGAGAAAAGAAUGUAGUCUCUAAAUUCAGAAGGUCUGGGCUUGAAUCC